Molecule: long non-coding RNA, 654 nt
Organism: Brassica rapa (field mustard)
Lineage: Eukaryota; Viridiplantae; Streptophyta; Magnoliopsida; Brassicales; Brassicaceae
Source: RefSeq, a predicted model, not a curated record
GUGUUUAGAAAAUUUCGUUCACAGAAACUACAUGUCAAAACAUAGAGGUGGCUCCUAUAAAGAAUGCGAACAACCGUUUGUGGAGUUCAAUUUAGUAUUGCAAAAUAACAAAAGAUUUCAAUAUAUCUUUAUAUAUUGUAGAAAAUUACGAGAAUAAACUACACUACAAGAUCAUCUUCUCAUUAUCUCUCUAAAUAUUCUCUCCAUCUCGAGCUUCCUCUUUGAUCUCCGGUGAUCGACUCCGGUGGCUUCUCAAGCACCGGAGUCGGUCGAUCCUUUCGUUUCUUCUUGUUUUUCUUCGGUGGUGGGAUCGAAGAUUCAAGGAUGCAUGAUGUUUGCUCUGGUCGGGAUUUAGUCCUUUUGCAGCAAGAGUUACCGGAUCUUUCCGAUCAUCCGUGUGGUUUACCCACUUUGUCUCUUGUCUGCGAUUGGCUCUAAAUCUUUUUUGUUUUGUCCACCAGAUGAUGUUGAAUCGGUUCACUUCCUGCUUGCAUGUCUCUGUUUCCUCUGUGAUUUGCUCUGGAUUCAUUUCAGGGCUUUAACUUCCCGGAAAACCUUGUUUUCGCCGGCCAUAGUUUCCAGGGAACCUGUGUUCUGCUGGCUCAGUGUAUCAUCCAUGUAUCUCAAUUUCGAAUCCGUCAAUGUUAUAUAAUA